Molecule: non-coding RNA, 75 nt
Organism: Lithohypha guttulata
Lineage: Eukaryota; Fungi; Ascomycota; Eurotiomycetes; Chaetothyriales; Trichomeriaceae
Source: the annotation of a RefSeq genome assembly
AGCAACGUGGCGCAGCGGAAGCGCGCCGGGCUCAUAACCCGGAGGACCUUGGAUCGAAACCAAGCGUGUAUGUCU